ACUACGGGAGGCAGCAGUGAGGAAUAUUGGUCAAUGGGCGAGAGCCUGAACCAGCCAAGUCGCGUGAAGGAUGACUGCCCUACGGGUUGUAAACUUCUUUUGUCAGGGAGCAAUUGAGUCCACGUGUGGGCUUAGCGAGAGUACCUGAAGAAAAAGCAUCGGCUAACUCAGUGCCAGAAGCCGCGUUAUUACGGAGGACGCGAGCGUUAUCCGGAUUUAUUGGGUUUAAAGGGUGAGUAGGCGGAAUAUCAAGUCAGUGUGAAAAAUUCGGGGCUAAACCCCGUCGUGCCGUUGAAACUGAUGUUCUUGAGUGGGCGUGAAGUAAGCGGAAUGCGUGGUGUAGCGGUGACAUGCAUAGAUAUCACGCAGAACUCCGAUUGCGAAGGCAGCAUACCGGCGCCCAACUGACGCUGAAGCACGAAAGCGUGGGUAUCGAACAGGAUUAGAUACCCCUGUAGUC
This 460-nucleotide ribosomal RNA is filed under the name uncultured bacterium. Its description in RNAcentral is "partial 16S ribosomal RNA". It matches the Rfam family "Bacterial small subunit ribosomal RNA", at positions 338 to 795 of the family's 1533-position model. The record is from RNAcentral.